AGAGUUUGAUCCUGGCUCAGGACGUACGCUGGCGGCGUGCCUAACACAUGCAAGUCGAACGGAGAUAUGAUUUCGGUUAUAUCUUAGUGGCGAACGGGUGAGUAACGCGUGAGCAACCUGACCUUCAGAGGGGGAUAACACUUGGAAACAGGUGCUAAUACCGCAUAAGACCACGACCCGACAUCGGGAUGCGGUCAAAGGAGCAAUCCGCUGAGGGAGGGGCUCGCGUCCCAUUAGAUAGAUGGCGGGUAACGGCCCACCAUGUCGACGAUGGGUAGCCGAGCUGAGAGGCUGAUCGGCCACACUGGAACUGAGACACGGUCCAGACUCCUACGGGAGGCAGCAGUGGGGAAUAUUGGGCAAUGGGCGCAAGCCUGACCCAGCAACGCCGCGUGAGGGAAGAAGGCCUUCGGGUUGUAAACCUCUGUCCUUGGUGACGAAACAAAUGACGGUAGCCAAGGAGGAAGCCCCGGCUAACUACGUG
RNAcentral lists this ribosomal RNA (484 nucleotides) under uncultured bacterium. RNAcentral's name for it is "bacterial SSU rRNA". It matches the Rfam family "Bacterial small subunit ribosomal RNA", at positions 8 to 507 of the family's 1533-position model. The record is from RNAcentral.